GGGCCGGUCAGCUCAGUCAGUUGAGCGUGGUGCUGAUGACACCAAGGUCGCGGGUUCAGUUCCCGCUCGGUCCC
Molecule: transfer RNA, 74 nt
Filed under: Apaloderma vittatum (bar-tailed trogon)
Lineage: Eukaryota; Metazoa; Chordata; Aves; Trogoniformes; Trogonidae
Rfam family: tRNA
About the family: Transfer RNA (tRNA) molecules are approximately 80 nucleotides in length.
Source: Rfam by way of RNAcentral